GUGGGGAAUCUUGCGCAAUGGGCGAAAGCCUGACGCAGCCAUGCCGCGUGAAUGAUGAAGGUCUUAGGAUUGUAAAAUUCUUUCACCGGGGACGAUAAUGACGGUACCCGGAGAAGAAGCUCCGGCUAACUUCGUGCCAGCAGCCGCGGUAAUACGAAGGGGGCUAGCGUUGCUCGGAAUUACUGGGCGUAAAGGGCGCGUAGGCGGACAGCUUAGUCAGAGGUGAAAGCCCAGGGCUCAACCUCGGAACUGCCUUUGAUACUGGGUGUCUUGAGUAUGAGAGAGGUGUGUGGAACUCCGAGUGUAGAGGUGAAAUUCGUAGAUAUUCGGAAGAACACCAGUGGCGAAGGCGACACACUGGCUCAUUACUGACGCUGAGGCGCGAAAGCGUGGGGAGCAAACAGGAUUAGAAACCCCUGUAGUCC
Molecule: ribosomal RNA, 425 nt
Filed under: uncultured bacterium
Lineage: Bacteria
Description: partial 16S ribosomal RNA
Rfam family: Bacterial small subunit ribosomal RNA
Source: RNAcentral